Non-coding RNA from Pelobates cultripes (western spadefoot toad), 307 nucleotides. NCBI's taxonomy places the organism in Eukaryota, Metazoa, Chordata, Amphibia, Anura, Pelobatidae. The record is from the annotation of a GenBank genome assembly.
ACUGACCCUGCAUGUCCUUUAAAAUUAAUUCACCUGCUCUUUGAAGGCAAAUCUAUUAUUUGUUGCCCUGCAAUAAAUUUUGUUCGGGCUGCAUGUGAAGUCUGUGAUUGGACAGUCACAGAAAGUCUGGGCUGGGUUAGAAGUGGAGAGCUUGCAGUAGCUGCAGUGGGAAGUCUGUGAUUGGACAGUCACAGAAAGUCUGGGCGGGGUUAGAAGGGGAGGGUUUGCAAGGGUUGCAGACAAAAGAUCUGGGCAGUUGCUGUCUCUUGAGUUUUUUUCCACUAAUCUAAACAAAACAGGAAAUAAC